GCCGCGUGAGUGAUGAAGGUUUUCGGAUCGUAAAACUCUGUUGUUAGGGAAGAACAAGUACGAGAGUAACUGCUCGUACCUUGACGGUACCUAACCAGAAAGCCACGGCUAACUACGUGCCAGCAGCCGCGGUAAUACGUAGGUGGCAAGCGUUGUCCGGAAUUAUUGGGCGUAAAGCGCGCGCAGGCGGUUUCUUAAGUCUGAUGUGAAAGCCCACGGCUCAACCGUGGAGGGUCAUUGGAAACUGGGAAACUUGAGUGCAGAAGAGAAGAGUGGAAUUCCACGUGUAGCGGUGAAAUGCGUAGAGAUGUGGAGGAACACCAGUGGCGAAGGCGACUCUUUGGUCUGUAACUGACGCUGAGGCGCGAAAGCGUGGGGAGCGAACAGGAUUAGAUACCCUGGUAGUCCACGCCGUAAACGAUGAGUGCUAAGUGUUAGAGGGUUUCCGCCCUUUAAUGCUGCAGCAAACGCAUUAAGCACUCCGCCUGGGGAGUACGGCCGCAAGGCUGAAACUCAAAGGAAUUGACGGGGGCCCGCACAAGCGGUGGAGCAUGUGGUUUAAUUCGAAGCAACGCGAAGAACCUUACCAGGUCUUGACAUCCUCUGACCCUCCUAGAGAUAGGACUUUCCCCUUCGGGGGACAGAGUGACAGGUGGUGCAUGGUUGUCGUCAGCUCGUGUCGUGAGAUGUUGGGUUAAGUCCCGCAACGAGCGCAACCCUU
RNAcentral lists this ribosomal RNA (721 nucleotides) under uncultured bacterium. RNAcentral's name for it is "bacterial SSU rRNA". It matches the Rfam family "Bacterial small subunit ribosomal RNA", at positions 396 to 1106 of the family's 1533-position model. The record is from RNAcentral.